UGUGCUAUGUGGGGAGCUAGCGGUGCCCUGUAACUCGCAAUCCGCUAUAGCGAGACAGAACGCAUAUCGAGGUUAUAUAAAUAGGAGGCUGACGGCCGUAAGCGGCGUUGAUCUCGGUGUCUUGUGCAACAGUUCGCUGUGAACCGUGUCAGGGCUUGACCGCAGCAGCACUAAGCAGAAUGAGCCGUGUGCCACGAGGAAGCUUCGAGGGAGUUGGCUGCGGUUGUACCGCUCGUGUUUGUAUAAUCGGAAUAUGUGCAC
Molecule: signal recognition particle RNA, 261 nt
Filed under: bovine gut metagenome
Description: Bacterial large signal recognition particle RNA
Rfam family: Bacterial large signal recognition particle RNA
About the family: The signal recognition particle (SRP) is a universally conserved ribonucleoprotein involved in the co-translational targeting of proteins to membranes. Archaeal SRP consists of a 7S RNA and homologues of the eukaryotic SRP19 and SRP54 proteins.
Source: RNAcentral